This 360-nucleotide ribosomal RNA is filed under the name Triticum aestivum (bread wheat). RNAcentral's name for it is "partial small subunit ribosomal RNA". Lineage: Eukaryota; Viridiplantae; Streptophyta; Magnoliopsida; Poales; Poaceae. The record is from RNAcentral.
AUGUGUCAUAGACCAGCAUUGGAGGCAAGGGAUCACUUGUACUUCGUAUGCCCUUUUGCAAAACUCUGUUGGCAAUAUGUUUGUCCUGGAACCCUCCCUACUGGGACAGAUAUUCAAGACGAAGUUGCCCAUCGCAAACAGUUGCUAAAUCUGCCUUUUGCCAUGGACAUUAUUAUACUGAUCUCAUGGGCAAUUUGGACCACAAGGAACGACUUCAUCUUCAAGCACAUUCCUCCAAAUCUCUAUAAUUGCAGGCGUCGAUUUAAGGAGGAAGUAAAAUGGUUUACCUACACGGCUAAGAGAAAGGAGCUCACUGGCCUCAUGGAUUGGGUUCAGGUUUUCAGAUACAACACUCGAUAG